UUUUUUUUGACAAUGUGAGAAGAACAUUUUUUAUUUCAUGGACUUAGGGAAUUAUUUUCUAUUAUUAUACUUCACGUUAAAAUGCCAUAUUUUGAUUGGCUAAUACAAGGGUGUUAAUUUACUCUAUCACAUGGCUGAUGAGAGGGUGACAAUUUUUUUUAAUGUUCCCUCUUGUCCAGACCAAUCAAAAAUCAACAUCAAGUAAUUGAAUACUUUUGGCUCAGAUUUUAUUAUUUUACUGUCAAAAUCCGUUGUUUCUACGUGACGUCAUAGAAAAUACUUUUAAAACAAAAUUAAUCUGUAAACCACAAUAAUGAUUGGACAUUCAGUAUAAUAAAUUAAAUAACACAUAGAAAACAUUGUCAACCGAGGCGCAGCCAAGGGCUGAUUGGUAACCCGAGAAAACAUUGUCAAUCGAGGGGAAGCCAAGGGCCGAUUGGUACCCUGAGAAAACAUUGUCAUACGAGGGGAAGCCAAGGGCCGAUUGGUACCCAGAGAAAACAUUGUCAACCGAGGCGAAGCUAAGGUUGACAAUUCUUUUUCGAGGGGUACCAAUCGGCUCUAUCACCCUCUCAGCUAUGUGUUAUUUAUAUACUAUAAAUACUAAUCGAGCAAAGGCAUGCAAUUAAAUACAGACUUUAUUUUUUUUAUAUUAUAAUACAGACUUUAUUGUCACCCAAUGAGUUGGAAUAAGAGGAGCUUUAUAGGUGUAUAGGCCAAUAAGACAGCAACACUUAACACAAUAAAAGAAAAAGAAAAGAAAUUUGGAGGUAAAAAAAGCAUUUUUUCAAAAAUAAAACAUACUUGCCUGAAACAAUCAAACUCAAAAAAAAAUAUGUUCUUAUAUGAUAACUUAUUUUAUGCAGUGCUUCAAUUUUUCAUAUUUUCACAUUUUAUUCUUGUUGCUGGUAAGCAAGGCACUGAUCCGUAAGAUUAAAAAUUCAGCUGGUAAAAAUUAUUGUAGUAUCCAUAGAUAUUAUUGCCAAACAAAUAUCUGUUUGGUGGCUUUAACAAUUUAUGUAAUUUUUGAAAUUAUUUUUUAUGGAAAAUAAAACAGUUGUUUUGUUAUGUCUUGUUUUUAUUACAGUAUAACUA
Molecule: long non-coding RNA, 1095 nt
Filed under: Mytilus galloprovincialis (Mediterranean mussel)
Lineage: Eukaryota; Metazoa; Mollusca; Bivalvia; Mytilida; Mytilidae
Source: RNAcentral